This 599-nucleotide ribosomal RNA is filed under the name Saccharomyces uvarum. RNAcentral's name for it is "partial large subunit ribosomal RNA". It matches the Rfam family "Eukaryotic large subunit ribosomal RNA", at positions 45 to 658 of the family's 3401-position model. Lineage: Eukaryota; Fungi; Ascomycota; Saccharomycetes; Saccharomycetales; Saccharomycetaceae. The record is from RNAcentral.
CCCUAGCGGAGGAAAAGAAACCAACCGGGAUUGCCUUAGUAACGGCGAGUGAAGCGGCAAAAGCUCAAAUUUGAAAUCUGGUACCUUUGGUGCCCGAGUUGUAAUUUGGAGAGGGCAACUUUGGGACCGUUCCUUGUCUAUGUUCCUUGGAACAGGACGUCAUAGAGGGUGAGAAUCCCGUGUGGCGAGGAGUGCGGUUCUAUGUAAAGUGCCUUCGAAGAGUCGAGUUGUUUGGGAAUGCAGCUCUAAGUGGGUGGUAAAUUCCAUCUAAAGCUAAAUAUUGGCGAGAGACCGAUAGCGAACAAGUACAGUGAUGGAAAGAUGAAAAGAACUUUGAAAAGAGAGUGAAAAAGUACGUGAAAUUGUUGAAAGGGAAGGGCAUUUGAUCAGACAUGGUGUUUUGCGCCCUCUGCUCCUUGUGGGUGGGGGAAUCUCGCAGUUCACUGGGCCAGCAUCAGUUUUGGUGGCAGGAUAAAUCCGUAGGAAUGUAACUUGCUUCGGGAAGUAUUAUAGCCUAUGGGAAUACUGCCAGCUGGGACUGAGGACUGCGACGUAAGUCAAGGAUGCUGGCAUAAUGGUUAUAUGCCGCCCGUCUGAAA